Molecule: ribosomal RNA, 1499 nt
Filed under: uncultured Bordetella sp.
Lineage: Bacteria; Pseudomonadati; Pseudomonadota; Betaproteobacteria; Burkholderiales; Alcaligenaceae
Description: partial 16S-23S ribosomal RNA intergenic spacer
Rfam family: Bacterial small subunit ribosomal RNA
Source: RNAcentral
GGUUCGAUCAUGGCUCAGAUUGAACGCUGGCGGGAUGCUUUACACAUGCAAGUCGAACGGCAGCACGGACUUCGGUCUGGUGACGAGUGGCGAACGGGUGAGUAAUGUAUCUGAAAUUCCGCCCAGUAGCGGGGAUAACUACGCGAAAGCGCUGGCACCGUAUACAGCCCUUCAAAGUGGGGACUCGGCCUUCGUAAUCAUUAGAGCGGGCUGAUAUCGGAUUAGCUAGUUGGUGGGGUAACGGCUCACCAAGGCGACGAUCCGUGCAGCUGGUUUGAGAGGGACGACCAGUUUCAGCACUGGGACUGGAGACACGGCCCAGACUACGGGAGGCAGCAGUGGGGAAUUUUGGACAAUGGGGUGAAACCCUGAUCCAGCCAUCCCGCGUGUGCGAUGGCUUUCGGGUUGUAAAGCACUUUUGCAGGAGGUAAAGAAAACGGCACGGGAUAAUACUUCGUGCAACUGACGGUACCUGCAGAAUAAGCACUGGCUAACUACGUGCCAGCAGCCAGUGGUAAUGCGGUGCGUUGUUAAUCGGAAUUACUGGGCGUAAAGCGUGCGCAGGCGGUUCGGAAAGAAAGAUGUGAAAUCCCAGAGCUUAACUUUGGAACUGCAUUUUUAACUACCGAGCUAGAGUGUGUCAGAGGGAGGUGGAAUUUCCGCGUAGCAGGAAAUGCGUAGAUAUGCGGAGGAACACCGAUGGCGAAGGCAGCCUCCUGGGAUAACACUGACGCUCAUGCACGAAAGCGUGGGGAGCAAACAGGAUUAGAUACCCUGUAGUCCACGCCCUAAACGAUGUCAACUAGCUGUUGGGGCCUUCGGGCCUUGGUAGCGCAGCUAACGCGUGAAGUUGACCGCCCGGGGAGUACGGUCGCAAGAUUAAAACUCAAAGGAAUUGACGGGGACCCGCACAAGCGGUGGAUGAUGUGGAUUAAUUCGAUGCAACGCGAAAAACCUUACCUACCCUUGACAUGUCUUGAAUCCUGAAGAGAUUUGAGAGUGCUCGCAAGAGAACCGGAACACAGGUGCUGCAUGGCUGUCGUCAGCUCGUGUCGUGAGAUGUUGCUAAGUCCCCGCAACGAGCGUGCAACCCUUGUCAUUAGUUGCUACGAAAGGGCACUCUAAUGAGACUGCCGGUGACAAACCGGAGGAAGGUGGGGAUGACGUCAAGUCCUCGCGGCCCUUAUGGGUAGGGCUUCACACGUCAUACAAUGGUCGGGACAGAGGGUCGCCAACCUGCCAGGGGGAGCUAACUCUGUGAAACCCGAUCGUAGUCCGGAUCGCAGUCUGCAACCUGGACUGCGUGAAGUCGGAAUCGCUAGUAAUCGCGGAUCAAAGUAUGUCGCGGUGAAUACGUUCCUGGUUCUGUACACACCGCCCGUCACACCAUGGGAGUGGGUUUUACCAGAAGUAGUUAGCCUAACCGUAGCAGGCGACGGUCAGCGAGAUUCAUGGAUUUAGCGCAAGUCGUAGUCAUGUGAUCCCCACAUGCCUGAUGC